GAUGAACGCUGGCGGUGGGCCUAACACAUGCAAGUCGAGCGAACAGACGGUGAGCGCGCUCCUCUGCGGGUAGCGGGGGGCGGGCGAGUGAGACGUGCAUAAGCUUCUAAUUAUUCUUGGGGGAUAUCGGGGAGACAGUGCUGAUAACACAGCAUACAUUCUACGGCAGGGAUCAAGAGUGAUUGACGGUUUUGGUGUUAGAUUUAGAUGAAUCCGCGCUGGAUUAGCUAGUUGGUAAGGUAACGGCCAACCAAGGCGACGAUGCGUAGCUGAGCUGAGAGGGUGAUCGGCCACACUGGAACUGAGACACGGUCCAGACUCCUACGGGAGGCAGCAGUAGGGAAUCUUCGGCAAUGGGCGCAAGCCUGACGCAGCCACACCGCGUGAGUGAUGAAGGUCUUCGGGUCGUAAAGCCCUGUUGUUAGGGAAGAAAAACUGUGUAAGUAACUAUGGACGUUUUGACGGUACCUAGUCAGUAAGCCACGGCUAACUACGUG
Molecule: ribosomal RNA, 497 nt
Filed under: uncultured bacterium
Lineage: Bacteria
Description: partial 16S ribosomal RNA
Rfam family: Bacterial small subunit ribosomal RNA
Source: RNAcentral